UCGAUGACAUCGCUGUUGGCAU
This 22-nucleotide microRNA is filed under the name Drosophila melanogaster (fruit fly). Its description in RNAcentral is "dme-miR-4942-3p". Lineage: Eukaryota; Metazoa; Arthropoda; Insecta; Diptera; Drosophilidae. The record is from miRBase by way of RNAcentral.